Podarcis lilfordi (Lilford's wall lizard) is the source of this 2412-nucleotide non-coding RNA. NCBI's taxonomy places the organism in Eukaryota, Metazoa, Chordata, Lepidosauria, Squamata, Lacertidae. The record is from the annotation of a GenBank genome assembly.
GGGGGCGCAAAUCCACAGGUUAGGGGGCGCAAAUUACUUGCCUUGCCCCGGGUGCUGACAACCCACGCUACGCCACUGGCCUGCGGUAAACAAAAACUUUAUCUGUGGUUACCUUAAUUUAUUUAAUAAUUAAUCAAAUGAUUUAAUAAUCUUUAUUUCUUAUUGCCCCCCCUUAACAAAGUACAACUCCUAAACAUGGCACACAAGCAAGGGACAGAGGGCAAUAACACAAAAUCCUUUUGCUCACUGCUCUCUCUCCACUACAAAUCUGACUCCCUUUGUCUUUGUCUCUGUCUCUGUCUCUUACACACAGUGUCAUUUCCUGGAUUGGAUUCCACUGUUAUGGAAACAACUCUUUCAUUCUCUAAGAGAUUUCAGAAGGUGUGAGGGAGGCCCACACUGUUCUAGGAAACUGGAAAGAGAGGCCAGAGGCAUGUACAAAUGAGAACAGCAGAGUGCUUUUCUCAUUCAUCCAGUCUUCCCCACCCCCUUCCUGUCUGUAAUGUAAGCCAUUAGGCAAUUGAGGUUUCCUCCUGCGCUUCCUGAAAUUUUUUUGGAAGGCAGUAGAUAGAAGACAGAAAUUUGCUAGCAAGCAUCUGAGGACAUCCUUCCUCUAUUACUGUAUUGGUGUUGCAUCACUAAUCGGUAAGCCCAGGGGUAGGCAACCUAAGGCCCGGGGGCCGGAUGCGGCCUAGUCGCCUUCUCAAUCCGGCCCACAGACGGUCCAGGAAUCAGCGUGUUUUUACAUGAGUAGAAUGUGUGCUUUUAUUUAAAAUGCCUCUCUGGGUUAUUUCUGGAGCAUAGGAAUUUGUUCAUUUCACCCCCAAAAGUAUAGUCUGGCCCACCACUGUCUGAGGGACAGUGGACCAGCCCACAGCUGAAAAAGGUUGCUGACCCCUGGGUAAGCCCUUGCCCAAAGUAUCUUGAGGUUUGUCCGCUGAGGUGAGGAGAGUUCUGCUCAGAGGACAAUACCCCCUACCAUCAGCCUCACUGAUGUGGUCCAAAGGAAAGCCAAGCAAUUUCUUUGGCACCAGCUUGGUUGCAGGAGUUGCUUGAAGGAGAUGUACAAUGUGCCACCCACUCUUAGGGACUCCACUCUGAUUUGUGUAGGGUUUAUUCCUUUGCCUUUUUUUGUCCUGAAGAUAUUCUGCAAGGCAGCAAAGGUUUAGGGUCAGAGUUUUUCUUCUUCUAUAUGGGCUCCCUUUCCAGGUUGAUGAGCCCUGGUAAACAUGCUUAACACUGCACUGCAAGUUUGGAUGGAUUGUAUUCAUGAUGUACCAGAUAUGUUUUAAGGAUUUACCAUCCAAAUGCCGUCAACUACAAAUUCACCUGAGGCACAACAGCUGCACUUGACUCCUUCUUUUUGGCCGUUGGAUAGUAAAACAGCAUCAGUCCAUGGAGUACCUGGACUGUAAAAGAGUAAAAAGCACAUCACCUGACAGAGUAAAAAGCACAUCACCUGACAGAGGACCACACAGUUGCUGCAGCUGGGGGAUGAGCUAGGAUGAAAGCCAAUGGGAGCUGCCACAACAACUUAAUGUUAACGGAGGCAGGGGAGAGAGAUGCUGCUUCCAAGGUACAUUAAGUGUUGGAGGAGAGAGAAGCAACAACAACGUAAUUAUAUGUUAGUAAUUUUAGGUAAGCUGCCUUGAGGAUCCUUCUGGAUCAAAAACCAAGAUGAAAAUAAAAUAAAAUAUAUAAUACCUUCAGGCAAUUUUAGUAAUUAAUAUAGCAGCAAUCAUCUCAGGAAACAUUCUCUGAGGGCUCCUGAAUCACAGUAAAAAUAGAAGCAUAGCAUAGUGUUGUUUCAGUAUUAAAGGAAACUACAAUUUGAAAUACUAAGAAUUACAAUAAUUACAUUGCUAUUAGUGACUCUAAGAAAGCUUACUCAAUACUUAAUUGGCAAAAAAAUUAUUUGUUUCUGAAGCCUUUGGAGUCAUUUCAAGGCAAUGCAAAUUACUGUUUUAUGUUCAUUGGAGAUGAGUGCAUUAUUUUUAGUGCUACAAAUAGAAAUAGCAGCUGUCAUUUACACAGCCCAGCCCCUUGCAAAGUAGUUGAAAGACACACCCAAGCAGCAGCAGCAGCAGCAGCAGCAACAACAACAACAACAACAACAACAACAACAACAACAACAACAACAACAACAACACAAUAACAGCAGACAAGCCAAGAAUAUGUUGAGUCUGCCACUUCUGUUUUCAUUUUUUGAAAGCUGCACAACUGGAAGCCUGGACAAAGCAACCCAAAUUGGAGUGUGCCAUCAGAUAGUGUAAGGAUGGUGUGCCCAAUAUCACCUCUUGUAUUAUGGGGACAGCUCAGCAUAUGUCAGUCCUGCCAGCCCUCCUGUCAUCUGAAUAAAUAGACAUAGGAGUGAUACAUACUAGGAAGCCUGGAGUUUUGGGUGAAUGGAAG